This is a long non-coding RNA of Oncorhynchus tshawytscha (Chinook salmon), 598 nucleotides long. RefSeq lists it as uncharacterized. The transcript is spliced from 4 exons. The record is from RefSeq and is a predicted model, not a curated record. Lineage: Eukaryota; Metazoa; Chordata; Actinopteri; Salmoniformes; Salmonidae.
UCCCUACACCAGGAGUGGAGACAAGGGAGACUCUAGUAACAUCGGUGUGAUAUCACGCCACCCCCUUUACUUCCCUUACCUGAAGAAACACCUGACGGAAACAGUGGUGGGGAAUACUUCCAUCACCUCAUACAGCCAGACACACAUGAUGCUGUCACACGUUAUGAGUUACCAGGGAUUCAUGCUCUCAACUUUGUCCUGCAAAGCUCUCUGGGAGGCGGUGGGGUGGCAUCGAUACGCUGUGACCCUCAGGGUAAAGCCUAUGGUCAGAUGCUGCUGGACCUCAAACUGACCGGCUUACCAGACCUCAAGUCUCUGGUCGACUGAGACGGGGAGAGAGAGAGAGAGACCGAGAGAGAGAGGACAAAUAUAUGAAGAAAUAUAGAGAUGUAUUGUUUUUCAAUGGAGAAUUCUCAUGAUAUAUCCUGGCUACAUACAGGAGUGGAAGAGAGGGCAUUAUCUCUGUGUGUGGAGAUAACUGCAUCUCAAAUGCACCCUAUUCCCUAUGUAGUGCACUACUUUAGACCAGAACCCUAUGCCACCCUAUGUAGUGCACUACUUUUGAUUCUCUGUAUCAUUAAACUAUGUGUCUAUCUUA